GCCAGGAGCAGUGAUGUGUGCCUGUAAUCCCAGCAGCUCAGGAGGCUGAGGCAGGAGGAUCACAAGUUCAAAGCCAGCCUCAGCAACUUAGUGAGACCCUAAGCAACUCAGUGAAACUCUGUCUCUA
RNAcentral lists this small RNA (127 nucleotides) under Marmota monax (woodchuck). Lineage: Eukaryota; Metazoa; Chordata; Mammalia; Rodentia; Sciuridae. The record is from RNAcentral.